This 93-nucleotide transfer RNA is filed under the name Botrimarina mediterranea. RNAcentral describes it as "Planctomycetes bacterium Spa11 tRNA-Gln". Lineage: Bacteria; Pseudomonadati; Planctomycetota; Planctomycetia; Pirellulales; Lacipirellulaceae. The record is from RNAcentral.
GCUCCUGGUGGACGAGGCCCACGCCACGGGCGUCUGGGGCCCCCACGGGAGGGGUUCGAUCGAGCACGCCGCCGUUCAAUCGCCGCGGCUGCC